This is a long non-coding RNA of Pygocentrus nattereri (red-bellied piranha), 525 nucleotides long. RefSeq lists it as uncharacterized. NCBI's taxonomy places the organism in Eukaryota, Metazoa, Chordata, Actinopteri, Characiformes, Serrasalmidae. The record is from RefSeq and is a predicted model, not a curated record. The transcript has 4 exons.
CUCAAACAUUUUGGGGCUUGACCCCUUUUCCUUUCAUUCCCUGUAUCAGGGGUGGCGAACUAAGGUGCUGGAAGGCCAAUGUCUAGGAGAGUCUGGUGACUUUCCUGCUCUUAACACACCAACAAACCACCAAAACUGUGCAGGACUCAAUUCAUCCAGGACCAGAGUGUGCCAGCACAGGCAAUGGUGGUAAGAGGAACCAGGGAGAGAUGGAACGAGUUUUUCCACCUACAGCCAUGACAUCAUUGGUCUAAUACUGAAAGCAAGAAGUGGAUGAGGACAUAAUUCCACCAUAAGAAGGGCAGAAAGACAUAUGCAAGUCACUGAAACCCACAAGGGACGUCACCACCAUCCACAGGCUUUGUCGUGACGAUAGAUUAACCCCAAAACAAAACAUGGUUCCAUUGACUUACAUUCAAAGAUUAUGGAUUCUACUCAUUCUGGAGAGUCUUCCUUACAGCUGGAAGUCCCCAAAUAAAAGCUGCUCAGCUAUUUAUUACAAAUUUUACACAUUUAAGUCUGAAA